GAUGAACGCUGGCGGCGUGCCUAAUACAUGCAAGUCGAGCGAACGGACGAGAAGCUUGCUUCUCUGAUGUUAGCGGCGGACGGGUGAGUAACGCGUGGAUAACCUACCUAUAAGACUGGGAUAACUUCGGGAAACCGGAGCUAAUACCGGAUAAUAUUUUGAACCGCAUGGUUCAAAAGUGAAAGACGGUCUUGCUGUCACUUAUAGAUGGAUCCGCGCUGCAUUAGCUAGUUGGUAAGGUAACGGCUUACCAAGGCAACGAUGCAUAGCCGACCUGAGAGGGUGAUCGGCCACACUGGAACUGAGACACGGUCCAGACUCCUACGGGAGGCAGCAGUAGGGAAUCUUCCGCAAUGGGCGAAAGCCUGACGGAGCAACGCCGCGUGAGUGAUGAAGGUCUUCGGAUCGUAAAACUCUGUUAUUAGGGAAGAACAUAUGUGUAAGUAACUGUGCACAUCUUGACGGUACCUAAUCAGAAAGCCACGGCUAACUACGUGCCAGCAGCCGCGGCAAUACGUAGGUGGCAAGCGUUAUCCGGAAUUAUUGGGCGUAAAGCGCGCGUAGGCGGUUUUUUAAGUCUGAUGUGAAAGCCCACGGCUCAACCGUGGAGGGUCAUUGGAAACUGGAAAACUUGAGUGCAGAAGAGGAAAGUGGAAUUCCAUGUGUAGCGGUGAAAUGCGCAGAGAUAUGGAGGAACACCAGUGGCGAAGGCGACUUUCUGGUCUGUAACUGACGCUGAUGUGCGAAAGCGUGGGGAUCAAACAGGAUUAGAUACCCUGGUAGUCCACGCCGUAAACGAUGAGUGCUAAGUGUUAGGGGGUUUCCGCCCCUUAGUGCUGCAGCUAACGCAUUAAGCACUCCGCCUGGGGAGUACGACCGCAAGGUUGAAACUCAAAGGAAUUGACGGGGACCCGCACAAGCGGUGGAGCAUGUGGUUUAAUUCGAGGCAACGCGAAGAACCUUACCAAAUCUUGACAUCCUUUGACAACUCUAGAGAUAGAGCCUUCCCCUUCGGGGGACAAAGUGACAGGUGGUGCAUGGUUGUCGUCAGCUCGUGUCGUGAGAUGUUGGGUUAAGUCCCGCAACGAGCGCAACCCUUAAGCUUAGUUGCCAUCAUUAAGUUGGGCACUCUAAGUUGACUGCCGGUGACAAACCGGAGGAAGGUGGGGAUGACGUCAAAUCAUCAUGCCCCUUAUGAUUUGGGCUACACACGUGCUACAAUGGACAAUACAAAGGGCAGCGAAACCGCGAGGUCAAGCAAAUCCCAUAAAGUUGUUCUCAGUUCGGAUUGUAGUCUGCAACUCGACUACAUGAAGCUGGAAUCGCUAGUAAUCGUAGAUCAGCAUGCUACGGUGAAUACGUUCCCGGGUCU
RNAcentral lists this ribosomal RNA (1372 nucleotides) under uncultured bacterium. RNAcentral's name for it is "bacterial SSU rRNA". It matches the Rfam family "Bacterial small subunit ribosomal RNA", at positions 28 to 1381 of the family's 1533-position model. The record is from RNAcentral.